UGUCAUUUCUUAAAUCGAUCUGUGGGUUCUUACUGGUGUUACUGGUUCUGUUAGGGAGACCAUGUGUUCACAGGAAAACUGAAGCUGAUGGGGGACAUGUUGGAGGUGACGUCACGUACAGAGACAGAAAAUCACAAGUCAUCAACAACAGCCAAUCAGAAGAAGCAGAGAGAGUGAUCCAGCUGUUGUCCUGAGAACUGAAGACAUCAGUUAUGGACAAACAGCUGUCUGACCAAACAGACUUUAAACCAGAGCCACUCUACUCUUUACUGAUGUAGUCCACCAGUCCAACGACGUCCAGCUGCUGGUCUCUAACUGGCCCACACGGCCUAUCAGACACGUCUGUGAAGGUUCUCAGUCAUCCAGGUCAUCGUUGUUUAAAGAGCUUGGAAAGAAAAGCGUCUGGACUUCUUUAAGUUGCUUGAAGACGUUUCACCUCUC
Molecule: long non-coding RNA, 441 nt
Organism: Haplochromis burtoni (Burton's mouthbrooder)
Lineage: Eukaryota; Metazoa; Chordata; Actinopteri; Cichliformes; Cichlidae
Exons: 4
Source: RefSeq, a predicted model, not a curated record